Long non-coding RNA from Nomascus leucogenys (northern white-cheeked gibbon), 95 nucleotides. RefSeq lists it as uncharacterized. The transcript has 3 exons. The record is from RefSeq and is a predicted model, not a curated record. Lineage: Eukaryota; Metazoa; Chordata; Mammalia; Primates; Hylobatidae.
AGGUUUCCCCAUUACUCUAUGCAUGUUAUUGCCCCUGAAGACCUUCCAGUGGGUCAAGAUGUAGAGGUGGAAGGCAGUGAUAUUGAUGAUCCUGA